This 948-nucleotide ribosomal RNA is filed under the name Triticum aestivum (bread wheat). Its description in RNAcentral is "partial small subunit ribosomal RNA". The record is from RNAcentral. Lineage: Eukaryota; Viridiplantae; Streptophyta; Magnoliopsida; Poales; Poaceae.
AUGCCUAAUCCUAGGGAAGUGGAUCGUGCUCUGUUUGUGGAAAAUGUGAGACUAAAGCAGUGUGGAGUUUCAGUUAAGUUUUCUCCUUGGUCUGAAGAUAUUGAAUCUGAGGGUCUGUUGGAAAUUACUUGGGUUCGAAUUGGGAAGAUCCCUCCGAACAAGAGAUGUGAUAGGACGGUGGCCUAUGUGGGUGGAUUAGUGGGCAUUACUCUUGAGGUAGAUGUGUCUACUAUAAAUCGUUCUUCGUCUGUUAGAGCCAAAAUUGGAUGUCGCUCUGUUGAUCAGUUGCCUGCUAUGGUGGAAGGUGUCCUGGGGGGGCGUUUCUAUAAGUUUACCUAUGAGGUGGAAGAAGUUCUUGUCAGGAAUCCUGUGAUCAAAGACCCUAUGGAAGUGGAAGCGAAAGAUGCACCUACUAAACCUGAUCAGACUCCUAAACGUAAACGAGCUGAUCAGGAAAAAGAGGAAAAGCAAGCUGACUUCCCUGAGAGUAGCAGAGAUGGUGCUGGUGCUCGUGGGGGCAAGACCUGUCGUCUGUCACCACAAGACCAUGACCUCUCAGAAUCAUCAGAUAGUGAAAAUGAUACAUCCCUGCUUAUUGAAACACUGGCAAAAGAACACGAGAUGGCUGGAGGAGGAACAACUCUGGAUACCUCACGCUGGAUGGUGGCUAUGGAGACUGAUAUACAUAUGGCCCCGCUGGAACAUGUAAUUGAGCCUAAAGAUGUGCAGGUAAAUGAUAUACCCGCAACUCGUCGUUCGUUGUCUUUUGAUGUUACUGGGGCUAACUCUGCUCAGGUUGUGGAGGUGAAUGGUGACGUAUACCCAGAUCUGAAGACCUCAAGUGACUACAUGGUACAGCUUCCUCUUUCUGAUCACAACUAUGAGAUCAUCCUCACACCUCCCCUUGCGCCUGAAGUGGCACUAAGAUUCAGCAAGCGCAAUACGUAG